AUGGAGAUCACCAAGGUCGACCUUCGAGGGCUGGAGCCUGGCCAGCCAGGGUGGGACGAAGCCCGGGACGCAGUGACCGCGUCCAUAGUGGCGCAAGGCUGCGUCGUGGUGCAUGUCCAGCACGUCGGGCUGGACGAGGACAUCCGGCAGGCGCUGUUCGGCCGCGCCAUGCAGGAGAUGUUCGCGCUCCCCGCGGAGGCCAAGCAGCGCAACUCCAACAAUGACAUGCAGUACGGAGGGUACAUCGGGCAGAUACCCGGCAUGGCGUACGAGAGCAUGCGCAUCAAGGACGUCACCGACGCCGGCCACAUCAGCGACUUCGCCGGUCUGCUCUGGCCGCAGGGCAACCCCGCCUUCUGUGACACGGUUGGGGAGUUCACCAAGAAUGCUGUAAGCCUGGAGAAGACGGUGACGAGGAUGGUCUUGGAAGGCCUCGGUGUCCGAGACGAACACGCCCUCGACUCGCACCGCGACCAGCUCUGCUACAGCUUGAGGAUGUCCUACUACGGCAUCUGCCCGGAGGAGAACACGGCCAAGGUGAGCCUGCCGGAGCACCGUGACUACGGCAUGACCACCACCAUCGUGCAGCACGAGGUUGAGGGCCUGGAGGUGCAGCUCAAGGACGGAAGCUGGUUCGCCGUGCCUCCUGAGCCGGACACGGUCGUCAUCGUCGCCGGCGAGCUACUCAACGUGGUGACCAACGGACGGGUGCGGGCCUGCCUCCACCGUGUCAGGACGCCGAGCAAUCGGGAGCGCUUCUCCGCGGUGCUAGGUUGCAUGCCCACCCAAGGCUCCACGGUGCGGGCGAUGGAGCAGCUCGUCGACGAGGGCCACCCUCUGGUCUACCGUCCCUGCGAUCCCUACGAGUACUGCGCCUUCCAGUACUCGGACGAAGGCCGCAAAUCCGGCGACGCGCUCAAGGCUUUCUGCGGAGUAGCUAAAGAUCUAGAUGGACCAGCUGUGUGA
This 966-nucleotide ribosomal RNA is filed under the name Triticum aestivum (bread wheat). RNAcentral's name for it is "partial small subunit ribosomal RNA". Lineage: Eukaryota; Viridiplantae; Streptophyta; Magnoliopsida; Poales; Poaceae. The record is from RNAcentral.